RNAcentral lists this long non-coding RNA (222 nucleotides) under Lathyrus oleraceus (garden pea). RNAcentral's name for it is "Pisum sativum (pea) long non-coding RNA (PSAT_LNC031172)". The record is from RNAcentral. Lineage: Eukaryota; Viridiplantae; Streptophyta; Magnoliopsida; Fabales; Fabaceae.
CUAGGAAAUCCUGGAUAAUCUAGCUUACCAAUCCCCUUUAUUUCUCCUUUUGAUCCAUCUCUAAAGGUGACAUAACCAGUGGAAUAAGACUUAAUAUUCACCAAAAAUUUCUUGACAACUGUCAUGUGUCUAGAUCAGCCACUAUCUGUAGCGGGAAAUUCAUGAUCAUCAAGCUAUUGACAAGCUACAGAUUAAUUAACAAGAGUCGCCACCGCGCUUUUA